Molecule: long non-coding RNA, 833 nt
Organism: Octopus sinensis (East Asian common octopus)
Lineage: Eukaryota; Metazoa; Mollusca; Cephalopoda; Octopoda; Octopodidae
Exons: 6
Source: RefSeq, a predicted model, not a curated record
AUGUUUAAUUCCAUGCUUUAACGAUGUAUUAAUAAACUCUUCUAUGGCAAUAAAUAUGUUUAUCUAACGGCUUCCCUUUACAGGUAAUACAAAACUCAAGUGCCAAAGCAAAUACGAAAAUUAACAGCCAUAUUAUUGCUGCAAGUAUUCCCAAUGUUAAUAUAACCAACCGUGAUGAACCAGUUACAAUAGCAUUCAAUGUAAUAGAUCCGAAUGCCACCAACCCACAAUGUGUCUAUUGGGACGAAUCCCCAGGGCGUAAUCCCCACUGGUCAGCAAAGGGCUGUGAUACAUCCGACUAUGAACCUGGAAAAAAAGUAUUUUGUACUUGUAACCAUCUUACAAGUUUUGCCAUGCUAAUGGAUGUCUACCAGAAUGAAAGAGAUGUAAAACAUAGUCAAAUGUUGUCUAUUCUUUCUAACAUUGGUUCCGGAAUAUCAUUUGUCUGUGUCAUUCUGACAGCAAUAGUUCAUGUUUAUUUCAAAAAUCUAUGGAAAUUAACGUCUUCCAAGGUUUUAGUAAACUUGUGCGUUUCUUUAGCUGCCACUUAUUUUAUCUUUCUUGUUGGGUUCCAAGAAUAUAGUACAAAAUAACAGCUGUUUGUAAGGCAAUGGCUGCUGUGUUACACUACUUCCUUCUGACAUCUCUCAUGGGGAUGACUGUAGAAGCAAUUCAUAUUUAUCGAGGCCUGUUUGUAUUCAAAACCAUUCGGUCAUCUUUUAUCAAGAGGAUUUUAAUUUUGGCCUGGGGUAUUCCAGCUGUCAUUGUCGUAACUACUCUGGCAAUUAACAACACAGACAAUUACAUUAGAAUUGAAUCAGAAAUGUAAGUAU